This 61-nucleotide transfer RNA is filed under the name Illubaboria bicolor. RNAcentral describes it as "tRNA-Phe". Lineage: Eukaryota; Metazoa; Arthropoda; Insecta; Coleoptera; Elateridae. The record is from RNAcentral.
AUCUUAAUAGCUUAUUUAGAGCAUGAUAUCGAAGUUCUCAAGGAGAUUUUAUCCUAGGAUA